RNAcentral lists this ribosomal RNA (937 nucleotides) under Gloniopsis sp. MFLUCC 14-0581. RNAcentral's name for it is "eukaryotic LSU rRNA". It matches the Rfam family "Eukaryotic large subunit ribosomal RNA", at positions 21 to 978 of the family's 3401-position model. Lineage: Eukaryota; Fungi; Ascomycota; Dothideomycetes; Hysteriales; Hysteriaceae. The record is from RNAcentral.
UUACCCGCUGAACUUAAGCAUAUCAAUAAGCGGAGGAAAAGAAACCAACAGGGAUUGCCUCAGUAACGGCGAGUGAAGCGGCAACAGCUCAAAUUUGAAAUCUGGCCCCUUCGGGGUCCGAGUUGUAAUUUGUAGAGGAUGCUUCGGCGAGGGCCCCGGUCUAAGUUCCUUGGAACAGGACGUCACAGAGGGUGAGAAUCCCGUACGUGGCCGGCGGUGCUCGCCAUGUGAAGCUCCUUCGACGAGUCGAGUUGUUUGGGAAUGCAGCUCUAAAUGGGAGGUAAAUUUCUUCUAAAGCUAAAUAUUGGCCAGAGACCGAUAGCGCACAAGUAGAGUGAUCGAAAGAUGAAAAGCACUUUGGAAAGAGAGUUAAAAAGUACGUGAAAUUGUUGAAAGGGAAGCGCUUGCAACCAGACCUGACCGUAGUUGCUCAUCCGGGCUCUUGCCCGGUGCACUCCUCUGCGGUCAGGCCAGCAUCAGUUCUGGCGGUCGGAUAAAGGCGGUGGGAAUGUAGCUCCCCUCGGGGAGUGUUAUAGCCCGCCGUGUCAUGCGGCCAGCCGGGACUGAGGUCCGCGCUUCGGCUAGGAUGCUGGCGUAAUGGUUGUAAGCGGCCCGUCUUGAAACACGGACCAAGGAGUCUAACAUCUGUGCGAGUGUUUGGGUGUCAAGCCCGGACGCGUAAUGAAAGUGAACGGAGGCGGGAACCUUCGGGUGCACCGUCGACCGAUCCUGAUGUCUUCGGAUGGAUUUGAGUAAGAGCAUAGCUGUUGGGACCCGAAAGAUGGUGAACUAUGCCUGAAUAGGGUGAAGCCAGAGGAAACUCUGGUGGAGGCUCGCAGCGGUUCUGACGUGCAAAUCGAUCGUCAAAUUUGGGCAUAGGGGCGAAAGACUAAUCGAACUAUCUAGUAGCUGGUUCCUGCCGAAGUUUCCCUCAGGA